GCCGUAUUAAGGCGAAACCGCGAAUGGCUCAUUAAAUCAGUUAUGGUUCCUUGGAUCGUACCUUACUACUUGGAUAACUGUGGCAAUUCUAGAGCUAAUACAUGCAGCAGAGCUCCGACCUUCGGGGACGAGCGCUUUUAUUAGACCAAAACCAAUCGGACCUCGUGUCCGUACGACGUGGUGACUCUGUAUAACUUUGGGCUGAUCGCACGGGCCCGUCCCGGCGACGUAUCUUUCAAGUGUCUGCCUUAUCAACUGUCGAUGGUAGGUUACUCGCCUACCAUGGUCGUAACGGGUGACGGGGAAUCAGGGUUCGAUUCCGGAGAGGGAGCCUGAGAAACGGCUACCACAUCCAAGGAAGGCAGCAGGCGCGCAAAUUACCCACUCCCGGAACGGGGAGGUAGUGACGAAAAAUAACAAUACGGGACUCUUUUGAGACCCCGUAAUUGGAAUGAGUACACUCUAAAUCCUUUAACGAGGAUCCAUUGGAGGGCAAGUCUGGUGCCAGCAGCUGCGGUAAUUCCAGCUCCAAUAGCGUAUAUUAAAGUUGUUGCGGUUAAAAAGCUCGUAGUUGGAUCUCAGUUCCAGACGGGUGGUCUGCCUACCGGUGGUUACUGCCCGUUCUGAACAGCCAGCCGGUUUCCCUUGAUGAUCUUCACCGGUUGUCUUGGGUGACCGGCAAGUUUACUUUGAAAAAAUUAGAGUGCUCAAAGCAGGCGUGACGCCUGAAUAAUGGUGCAUGGAAUAAUGGAAUAGGACCUCGGUUCUAUUUUGUUGGUUUUCGGAACACGAGGUAAUGAUUAAGAGGGACAGACGGGGGCAUUCGUAUUGCGACGCUAGAGGUGAAAUUCUUGGACCGUCGCAAGACGAACUACUGCGAAAGCAUUUGCCAAGAAUGUUUCCAUUAAUCAAGAACGAAAGUUAGAGGUUCGAAGGCGAUCAGAUACCGCCCUAGUUCUAACCAUAAACGAUGCCAGCCAGCGAUC
RNAcentral lists this ribosomal RNA (986 nucleotides) under Asianopis wangi. RNAcentral describes it as "SSU rRNA". It matches the Rfam family "Eukaryotic small subunit ribosomal RNA", at positions 69 to 1054 of the family's 1831-position model. Lineage: Eukaryota; Metazoa; Arthropoda; Arachnida; Araneae; Deinopidae. The record is from RNAcentral.